AUGGUGGUUGGAUGAAGUACUUUGUUGAUUUAUUGUGAGACUUUAAUUUUGUUCUGGGGAUUAUUGUGCUGUUAUGGAAUUCAUGUAACUAGGUCCAGUUGUAAGCUUUGGAUCCACUAUUUAUGGGUUCAACAGAUGUAGCAUGGGUUGCGUUAUGUGCUUCUGUGUUGGUCCAUCUACAGUGUUGGUCCAUGGAUGUGAGUUGUGAUUUGGUGGUCCAUUUUAAUAUUGCAAGUGGUUCAUUUUGAGUCAUUGUGAUCUAUCACUACAAACUACUUUCAUGCAUGUGGCCGGCUUCUUAGAUGGAUGCUGUAAGCUGCUACAAAUUAUUGAUAAACUGUAGGGAUGAUUUGAAUAAAUACUUGAAUAAACCAGUAUCCGGUUAAGCGAUGAGUUGGUUGUUGAACCUGCCUCUCCUGUUUUCCCUACUCCUCCUCUUCAAGUUCCUUAAGAGAUGUUAGGGUUGCUUAGAUUUUGUUAGAAGUUUGAAUUAUUCUAAGUUGUUUUUAUUUCCAAGCUUUAGGGGAUUUUCUUGGCCAUCAGUUGCUGAGUUUUAGAAGCUGUAAUAAAUUAAGCAUGAUUUAAUCAGAGAAAAUCUCAGUUGCACUAUGCUUCCAUGAUUUGCCAAUAGGAUAUGUACUUGGUCUUGGUGAAUGACGAAAGUACUAGAAUCUGGUUUACUUUGAUAUAAAUUGUCAGAAAAAGCAUAAAGAACCAUAAGUGGCUCCUAGUUUGUGCCCUUGUUUUGUAGUGUGCAACAUUUUCUACUAUAGAUUAAUAUUUAUUUGUUUCUUUGAGAUUUAUAUUAAAACACAUAAAAGAUGGAGGUUGGAUGAAGUACUUUUUUGAUUUAUUGUGAGACUUUAAUUUUGUUCUGGGGAUUAUUGUGCUGUUAUGGAAUUCAUGUAACUAGGUCCAGUUGUAAGCUUUGGACCCACUAUUCGUGGGUUCAACAGAUGUAGCUUGGGUUGCGUUAUGUGCUUCUGUGUUGGUCCAUCUCCAGUGUUGGUACAUGGAUGUGAGUUGUGAUCUGGUGGUCCAUUUUAAUAUUGCAAGUGGUUCAUUUUGAGUCAUUGUGAUCUAUCACUGCAAACUACUUUCAUGCAUGUGGCCGGCUUCUUAGAUGGAUGCUGUAACCUGCUACAAAU
RNAcentral lists this long non-coding RNA (1148 nucleotides) under Phoenix dactylifera (date palm). RNAcentral's name for it is "long non-coding RNA (PDAC_LNC002618)". Lineage: Eukaryota; Viridiplantae; Streptophyta; Magnoliopsida; Arecales; Arecaceae. The record is from RNAcentral.